This 523-nucleotide long non-coding RNA is filed under the name Triticum aestivum (bread wheat). RNAcentral's name for it is "long non-coding RNA (TAES_LNC020473)". The record is from RNAcentral. Lineage: Eukaryota; Viridiplantae; Streptophyta; Magnoliopsida; Poales; Poaceae.
UAUGGACCAAGUGAUGGGAGCAUCUCACGGGCGGCGGCCCUCACUUCAAGCUCGAUGAACUUAGCUUAAACAUGCUCUUGCACUGGCAUGGUCGUGAUAGGUUUGUCAUCUGGGCGAUUGCCCGUGUUCGUGAGGUUGCUGUGAUUUUUCACUAUAGGAAUUGAUAGCUUGACAGGUUAUUUGGCUUAGCCUAUGUUGUGUUGUUGCUUGUUUGUCUGAUCCCUAUCAUGCUGAUGUUUCAUACCAUGAUAGAUGUUUAUGGUUGUAAUAUUAUACCAUUGAUAGCUUUAGGAAAGGUGGUUGCUGAUUGAGAAAGUUGAGAGACAACUUACGGACACUAUAAUAGUUAGGAAUUUAUUGUUGGGACAAAAUUAUGUCGUUGUUUAUACACAUGCAUCAACUCUUCAUGUAGCUCACUACUUAUUCUAUGAUGAGAAUAACAACUGUAGAUAGAGUCAUUCAUCUUGCUUAUUUUCUAGAUGAAUAACUUCAUUAUGGGUCGUGUCAUCCGAGGCAAGUUGAU